Molecule: long non-coding RNA, 2199 nt
Organism: Betta splendens (Siamese fighting fish)
Lineage: Eukaryota; Metazoa; Chordata; Actinopteri; Anabantiformes; Osphronemidae
Source: Ensembl
UUUUUUUGCAGUUUUUAUUCUGCAAGAGUAGUGUGUGGUGUGAACUGACCACUGAAAUGCAGCUCUAGGACAUUUUGUUUUAGUGGGUACGAGUUAACAGCAUAAAACCGGAAUGAUCUGUUGAGAAAAAAAAGUAAUUUACAUAAAGUUACUGUAGACCAAUGAAACACAAACUCAGCAAGUGCACAUAAACGUAUGAAGCUUCCUUCUACCAUCAGUAGAUCAUUAUGAUGAUGAUGAUGAUGGACAGGACCUUUCUGCAAGUGUUUUAUCUCACAGGGUGGUUCAUCUUCUCCUUAGGUCUUUACAAUGAGUAUUACUUUGUUAAUACACCUUUGAACUGGACUCAGGCUCAGAACUACUGCAGAACCACAUACACAGACCUGGCAACCAUUGAAAACAUCACAGAAAUGAACCAUGUUAUCGAUACUUUAUCUGGUAGCAACUCCCCAAUCUGGACUGGUCUGUACGUUCAGAACUAUUGGCGUUGGACACAUCAAAUUUGGGACGAGUUUGUAGAUUUACAGAACCAAAUCAAAAAUGGUCCAAUUUUACCGUAUAGUUUUGGUUAUACUUUGUCAGGUAGCGGAGUACAGCUUUUUGAAAACUAUUUCAUGAAACGUCCCUUCAUCUGUGCUAAUGGUAAGAACACAUCAACAUCUUCUACAACCAAUGUUCUUGAAAUUCAAUAGAUGCUGUGGAAAGUAAAAGUUUGUUCUGUACACGUGUAAAUAGUAUUUCUGAUAACUCAUCAUGAUCAUCUUGUUAUUCUCACCUUUAACUUCAGGAACACAGGAGGUUUAUGUGAAUCAGUCUGUGGACUGGUUCACAGCCUGGAGGUACUGCAGAGAGAACUUCACUGACCUAGACUCUUAUGCUUACGUACCAUGGAACGCCAGCUCAUGGUUGUUUACCGCAUGGGUCGACAACAAAAAUCUGAACAAUUUGGUGCCACCUGGCGUGCGAGUCUGGAUCGGCCGUGUUUUGUAUCCACAAAUGUCCUGGUCUGAUGGCAGCAACUACUCAUUCUCAUACUGGGAUAACAUUACGUUUUACCCUGAAUGGCGAGACACGCUGCAUGGUGCUGUGGACUUGCAAAGAUCAGGAAAAUGGAGGCUACUGCCAAAUUAUACAACAUUACCAUUUGUCUGCUAUGACAGAGUGGAUAAGAAGAUAUUCAAGCUGCGACUCAGCUCCUCUGUGGAUCUGAACGACCCAGAUGUGAAUGAAAGCAUCCUCAAGCAGGUGCAGGACAGACUGAAGGAGCAAGGAGUGAAUGGAGUCACACUGAAAUGGAGGAAACAGGCGGAUGGGAAAAUCUUUCACAAGGGGGAAAUGAACGGUGGAUGCUGAAUUAGCAUUUGAUGAUUGAUACAGUUUAUUAUGUAUAGAAAAGAGAAACAUAGAGAACAUUUAACCAAACAUUUAGUAAAGUAGCUUCUGCUUCAAUAUUCUGUAUUUUUUGUGUCUGAACAGCAACUCUGUUUAAAUCUGUUUAAAUUCUUGUGAAAAGAGUUCAGCAGCGUCACCUUGUGUUUGAGUUGUAGAAUUGUGUGUAGUUUGUAGAAUUAGAGAAAAGAAAUAUUAGAAAAGAAGUAUUUCCCUGAGCUUGGACGUCAGGACACACGCUGGUGGUGUUUCUCUGUGUUACUGUCAAACUGAAUGCUAGAAAAACCACAAGAUUGUGCUUUGAUCACAAAACAAACUGUGUCACUUGAGUCAUUUAUCACUUCUCACAUUUGUAUUUAUGGAUAAGACCAACGAACAACCAAUAUGCAGCAAAGCAGCAGAAAUGCAGUGUGAAUUCAAAGGCAGGUCAAGGAGGCAGCAUCUACUGUAAGCGUGGGUUUAGUUUAUCUGAGGGAGGAAAACUCCUGCAUCACAUGUCACACAGCUAAACACAAGGCACACGGUGACUGCUUGUCUAUUGCAGUCCACACGUUCAGCUCCUGCUUGAAUCGCAUCUGUAACAAGCAGACGUUACAGGACACCAGUCAGAAUCUGCUGUAUGAAGUUCACUAAAACCUUCAGCAGGCAACGAAGACCCUGCAGCUGAUGACUCCACCAGCAGAGCAGCACAGAGUGGGCUCAGUGAUGCAGGCGUCUACAGGCUAGACUUCACAUCAGAACCAACAUCUCUAAACCACAAAUGUCCCUUUGAGGUUGUAGCUGAAAUAAAACUCAUACAGUAUAUGUACA